GGGGGUUAGGGUUAGUAAAACAAAAAGACUUAUACGUAAGAAGAAGAACCAGAAAAAGAAGAAGAAGAAGAAUAGUGACAGAUACACAGACAGUUAAAGAUGAGUGAUGACUAGCUAGUAAAACUCUCAAUCCACUAUGGUGGAACGAUGAAGAAAGAAGAUGAUGGUUACAAUUAUAUUUGUGAAUUGGGUUGUAAGAGCAUUUCCUGGAAACUUUCUGAGAUUCGAUGGCUGAAGUUUGAAAAAUUCAUUCAAUCUGUAGAUGUUACGACACCUAUUAGCUUAGUAUGGUUUAAAGAAGCAAGUGAGGAAACGAAAAUGAUGAAGUAUGUGUUUGAUAAGACUAGUGAUGACAUGAUGUAGCUGCGUUUUUCUGCAGAAGCAGCCGGUGAGGUUGAUGUGUAUCUUGAACAUGAUUGUAAAUGGGAAGUUGAUGGUGGAUAUGAACCUGAUGAGGAUGAGAUAAGAGCAGAAGAAGGAAGUGAAUAUGGCAAUGACAAUUCAGAUGAAGAUGAUAAGCCACCAAAAGAAGAUGAUGAGCCUGAGGAAUCUGAAGACGAAACACCUGCAGGUGAUGGUGAAAAUGAAAAGGGGAAAUUUGGUGAUGAUUUAGAUGAAAUUCAAGAACAAGAGACUGUAAAUCAGAAUGGGUCAUAGGGUUUGAAUGCAAAUCAAAUUGAGGUUGAUGAUGGGGAUGAGGUUGUUAUAGAUGCAGGAAAUGGUCGUGAUGAUGAUAGGUUUCAGUCCGUAUUUGAGGAAGGUUCAAGGAGAAAUGCAGAGUUAGAUAAUGCAACUCGAAAACUGGCGGAAGAGCAAGCAACAGAAAGAAGGGAAGAGGAAGUAGAGUUCAAAGACCAAUUGCUCAGAUACUCAUUAAAUACUCAGUAUGAUGUUAAAAUGGCAAAGUCAUAAGCAAACAGGAUUGCUGCUGUUUGUUGCAAGGAUAAAUGUCCAUGGAAAUUUUUUUGCUCAGUUGAGCUUCCAAUAAACAAGUGGAUGGUUAAAUUAUGUCACUACAAGCACAACCAUGGGAAGUUUAGCAGAGUUUCAAUGCUGAAGCAAGGUGUUAUAGCAGGCUUAUUCAGAGAGGAGAUAAGAAGGAAUGUCAAUUUAUCAGCUGCAGAUAUAAAGGACAUCAUCAAACUUGUUUUGGGGUGUUGCAUACAACUACCAUCAAGGGGAGUAUGAGGAGAAGAUGAAGUUGGUGUAUGCGUAUGAUCUUGUUGUCUAUGAGGCUUUAUUAAAUUAUGAACCAGAGAAGUGGUGUAGAGCAUUCUUUAAUCCUGAGUCUCAUUGUGCUGAUGUGCACAACAAUCUUUCAGAAGCAUUUAAUAGAACAAUUAAGAUAGCAAGAAGUAAGCAUGUCAUUACCAUGUUGGAAGAUAUUAGAAGACAAGCCAUGGUUAGGAUUUCACGUAGGUGGGCAAAAGCAGAUAAGUGUAAUUCCUUUCUCACACCAAUCACAAUGGCAAUAUUGGAGAAAGCACGGGUUGAUAAGAAGUAUUGCAGCACAUUACGCAGUAGCUCCUAUAUUUAUGAGGUAAAUGAGUUUAAUGUUGGAUAUACAGUUGACUUAGCAAGACACCAAUGUGCAUGCCGAAGAUGGGAUCUUACAUGAAUACCAUGCAAACAUGAUGUAUGCGUAUUAGAUGACAACCAAGAUGAUCCAGAGAAAUAUGUGGCUAGCUAUUAUGAAACUUCAUGCUUCAAGAACACAUAUGUGGAAAAUAUCAAACCUGUCAAUGGUGAGCAGUUCUGGAGUAAAACAGGGAAACCUCCUAUUGCAAUUCCAAACAUUCGUAAGCCAAGAGGUCGGCCAAAGAAACGUGAUAGGAAGAAAGAGCCCGUUGAAUCACUUAAAAAUCAUGGAAAAUCAACAAGACAUGGUAGGAUACCACAUUGCAGCCGUUGUGGUCAAGCUGGACAUAUCAAGAGUGGAUGUAAAAAUGAACCAGCGGUUGUGGAGGGACCAAAAAACAGGCGUGGUAGACCACACAAAC
Molecule: RNA transcript, 2000 nt
Organism: Camelina sativa (false flax)
Lineage: Eukaryota; Viridiplantae; Streptophyta; Magnoliopsida; Brassicales; Brassicaceae
Source: RefSeq, a predicted model, not a curated record